UGUAAUUUCUAACGUUUAUGCCACAAAAUAUUCGGUUUUAUCCUCUUUCUUUACAUGUAGCAUGUGAAAGAGAAUAACGUAGCCAAUAGAAUAUAAGGUCAAAAGCACCUGAAAAUUGUUUGAAAAAAAGAAGGAAGAGUCAUCCACCUAUACCUUUAUUGACCAUAUACAUAGGUUCCGAGUGUUCUAUUUCAUAUCACCAAAGUAGUAUAGAAUUGUAAUCUCACCUACAACUCUUAAAUUCUAAACAUAUCCCAAACUCAAUCCCUAGACACUAAACCUUAUCUCAAUCCCAUCCAUUUAAACCCUAAACUCGAAUCAGUAAACCCUAAACCCAAAUAUAAACUAUAAACCCAAAUGGAAUAGAACAAAGUAAAUAACAUAAUACAUAUUGGUGAAAUUAUGAAAUGUGUAUGAUUGCAUAGAAGAAGUUAAUGUUGACCCCUACCAUACCCCCUCACCUUCUAAAUACUAAACCAUAAACUUUAAUCAUUAAACACUUAUCCAAAUAUAA
RNAcentral lists this long non-coding RNA (514 nucleotides) under Brassica napus (rape). Its description in RNAcentral is "long non-coding RNA (BNAP_LNC018607)". Lineage: Eukaryota; Viridiplantae; Streptophyta; Magnoliopsida; Brassicales; Brassicaceae. The record is from RNAcentral.